GACGAACGCUGGCGGCGUGCCUAAUACAUGCAAGUAGAACGCUGAAGGAGGAGCUUGCUUCUCUGGAUGAGUUGCGAACGGGUGAGUAACGCGUAGGUAACCUGCCUGGUAGCGGGGGAUAACUAUUGGAAACGAUAGCUAAUACCGCAUAAUAGUAGAUGUUGCAUGACAUUGGCUUAAAAGGUGCAAUUGCAUCACUACCAUAUGGACAUGCGUUGUAUUAGCUAGGUGGUGGGGUAACGGCUCAACAAGGCGACGAUACAUAGCCGACCUGCGAGGGGGAGCGGCCACCCUGGGACGGAGACACGGCCCAGAGUCCUACGGGAGGCAGCCGUAGGGCUUCGUCGGCAAUGGACGGAAGUCUGACCGAGCAACGCCGAGGGAGUGAAGAAGGUUUUCGGGUCGUAAAGCUCGGUUGUCAGGGAAGAAAGAUUGUGAGAGUGGAAAGUUCACACUGUGACGGUACCUUAACAGAAAGCGCCGGCUAACUACGUG
Molecule: ribosomal RNA, 495 nt
Filed under: uncultured bacterium
Lineage: Bacteria
Description: partial 16S ribosomal RNA
Rfam family: Bacterial small subunit ribosomal RNA
Source: RNAcentral